CAUCGCGGUCACGAGAAAUCCCUUCUCGCUAAACGUAUUAAAUGCAAGAAACGGCGGAUAUGGUGGACGACCCCGAGUACGAGGAAGAGGAGCCUUCCUUCAGCGACCCAGAGGACUUCGAGGAUGACGUCGAUGACGAGGAACUGUUGGAUGACAUCCUGAGAGAGAAACCCCAGGAGGCUGACGGCAUCGACUCCGUGGUGGUGGUGGACAACGUCCCGCAGGUUGGCCCCGAGCGUUUGGAAAAGCUCAAGAAUGUCAUCCACAAGAUCUUCUCCAAGUUUGGAAAGAUCACCACCGAGUUCUAUCCAGAGGCCGAUGGUACCACCAAAGGGUACAUCUUUUUGGAGUACGCGUCGCCCAACCAGGCCCUGGAGGCGGUGAAAAACGCAGAUGGAUACAAACUGGACAAACAGCAUACAUUCAGGGUCAAUCUCUUCACAGAUUUUGACAAGUACAUGAACAUUAAUGAUGAGUGGGACACUCCGGAGAAACAACCCUUCAAAGACUUUGGUAACAUGCGCCACUGGAUCGAGGACCCUGACUGCCGGGACCAGUACAGUGUGAUCUACGAAGCUGGUGAGAGGACCGCCAUUUUCUCCAAUGACGCCAAGGAUCCGGUCGUCUCCGAAGAGAGAGCGCGCUGGACCGAGACGUACGUGCGCUGGUCCCCCAAAGGCACCUACCUGGCUACCUUCCACCAAAGGGGCAUCGCUCUGUGGGGCGGCGAGAAGUUCAAGCAGAUUCAGAGGUUCAGCCAUCAGGGGGUGUCCCUCAUCGACUUCUCGCCCUGUGAGAGGUACGUCGUGACCUUCAGCCCGCUGAUGGACACCAAAGAGGACCCGCAGGCCAUCAUCAUCUGGGACAUUCUCACGGGCCAGAAGAAAAGAGGUUUCCACUGCGAGAGCGCAGCACACUGGCCCAUUUUCAAAUGGAGUCACGAUGGAAAGUUCUUUGCCAGGAUGACACAAGACACACUGAGCAUCUAUGAGACUCCAUCUAUGGGCCUGCUCGACAAGAAGAGUCUGAAGAUCAGCGGAAUCAAGGACUUCUCGUGGUCCCCAGGCGACAACAUCAUCGCAUUCUGGGUGCCGGAGGACAAGGACAUCCCGGCCAGGGUGACUCUGAUGCAGCUGCCUGCCCGCCAGGAGAUUCGCGUGCGCAACCUUUUCAACGUGGUGGACUGCAAGCUGCACUGGCAGAGGAACGGCGACUAUCUGUGCGUGAAAGUAGACAGGACUCCGAAAGGGACCCAAGGUGUGGUCACAAACUUUGAAAUUUUCCGCAUGCGAGAGAAACAAGUUCCUGUUGAUGUGGUGGAGAUGAAGGAGAGCAUCAUUGCGUUUGCGUGGGAGCCCAACGGCAGCAAGUUUGCAGUUCUGCACGGGGAGUCGCCAAGGAUCAACGCCUCCUUCUACCACGUGAAAAACAACGGCAAGAUCGACCUCAUAAAACUGUUCGACAAGCAGCAGGCCAAUAGCAUCUUCUGGAGCCCCCAGGGACAGUUCUUGGUUCUGGCUGGACUCAGAAGUAUGAACGGCGCACUUGCCUUCGUGGACACGUCCGACUGCACCUUGAUGAACAUAGCGGAGCACUAUAUGGCCUCCGAUGUGGAGUGGGACCCCACCGGGCGCUACGUGGUCACAUCAGUUUCCUGGUGGAGCCACAAGGUGGACAACGCAUAUUGGGUGUGGACAUUCCAGGGUCGCCUUCUUCAGAAGAAUAUCAAGGACCGCUUCUGCCAGCUGCUUUGGAGACCCCGACCUCCUAGCCUGCUCAGUGCGGACCAGAUCAAGAUAAUCAAGAAGGAUCUGAAGAAAUACUCCAAGAUCUUUGAGCAGAAGGAUCGUCUAAGCCAGUCUAAGGCAUCAAAGGAACUUGUGGACAAGCGCAGGGCCAUGAUGGACGAGUACCGUCGCUAUAGGGACCAGGCGCUGCAGGUUUACCAGGAGCAGAAAGAAGCCCGCAUGGAGCUCCGAGGAGGAGUGGACACGGACGAGCCGGACAGCAACGUAGACGACUGGGAGGAGGAGACCAUUGAGUUUUUUAUCAACGAAGAAAUCAUUCCCAUCGGAGAGCUCUAGUUCCCUACGCUGGUAACGAUUGACUAAAAUCAAAUCAAAAGAGACUUUUUAAUAUAUAUUUUUUUCCAGCUCUACCUAAUUUUAUGAACGUCUUAGCAAGGAAAUCAUAACAGAGCGAAGCAGCGUCAUUGACUGGAGAAGGACGACAACAAUUUGGGGUUCCACGUCCUGAGCCUCAACAUUCACCCCACCCCCACCCCCCGAGUGACAUCAUCAGAGCACGCCCGGCAGAUCAACGGCCACAUUGAGGGACUCGAUCAGUUUUUCUUGCCCCCCCCCCCCCCUUGUGGAACUUAUUUACUAAUAGCGCCCCCUGUUGUUUAAUUGGAGUCGGGAGCAGUUCCCGACGUGGGCUCUCUCGUCAUGCUGAUGUGCGUGGCGCCGAGUGCCAUAGCAGCGGGGUGCGGAGGUGCUAAACUAGAAGCCUUGUUCGUGAAUGUGCUGAUGUGGCGCUACAAUGGCCUGUAUCCUCCUCCUUUCAGACUUGCCUUUCACACAGGCAGGGGGUGCGCAGCGGGAAUAACUUUAAAUAAACACUUCAACGUGAUAA
Molecule: RNA transcript, 2634 nt
Organism: Syngnathoides biaculeatus (alligator pipefish)
Lineage: Eukaryota; Metazoa; Chordata; Actinopteri; Syngnathiformes; Syngnathidae
Gene: eif3ba
Gene name: eukaryotic translation initiation factor 3, subunit Ba
Exons: 19
Source: RefSeq, a predicted model, not a curated record